AACUUCUUGUAUAAGCACUGUGCUAAAAUUGCAAAAACUAGGACCAUAUCUUGGUGUUUGUAAUAAUGCUAGCAAGUACAUACAAGAAUAAACAUAACAGCAUUAGAUUGUGAAGACUGGGGUGAGGUCAGGUGCAGUGGCU
This is a small nucleolar RNA of Saimiri boliviensis boliviensis (Bolivian squirrel monkey), 142 nucleotides long. The record is from Ensembl. Lineage: Eukaryota; Metazoa; Chordata; Mammalia; Primates; Cebidae.